UGGACAGAGUGCUGCCCUGGCCUGGU
This 26-nucleotide non-coding RNA is filed under the name Mus musculus (house mouse). The record is from RNAcentral. Lineage: Eukaryota; Metazoa; Chordata; Mammalia; Rodentia; Muridae.